UGUAUUGUGUUUGCGUGUCUUGCUUUGAUAUCGUACAUCGUAAUGGUGGUGGCUUCUCUUCUUGUCAUUAACUGGUUAAAGGAGCAGCGUAAUAGAUGUACUAUAGUUUCUAUUGUUUCAAAUGUGGCAACAUGUAUACUUAUACCACUUACUCUGGGUUUAUACGUCAUCACCAUAGAAGAUUAUUCUUUAGAAGUGGUGUUUUACCUAAUGAUCGUUAGUAAUGUAUUAGUUGUUAUUACUGCGGGCCUGCGGAUUUUAGACUUCAAGCUUCCGGAACCAAAGAAGCGAAUACCUUUUAGUGUACCACCACUUACUACAAUAAACCAAAACAUCAAAACACCCAUGUCAAAAGUUCAAAGGAAAACUGAAAAUAAGCUAAAGCCCGCAAUUUUACCUCAACGAUAUUUCCCUAAACCUUCGGAUAAAAGACAUACUCAUCCUUUCUACAAAAAAGAUGUGGACCCAUUAUUUGUUAAAGUGUUAUAUGCAAAGGACAAAGAUUCUGAUAAAUUGAGAGCAGUCAGACCUAUCAAUGUAAGCGUCAAAUGAAAAUAUUAAACAUAAAGCCGUUAUACAUUUCGAUCAAAGCAAACUUACUCUGUAACCUACAUUGAAAAGUACGUUUUUCUUUGUUGGUAGUAGCAAAUCUACAAAUAAAAAUGUAUAUACCGAUAUCAACCUAG
Mytilus californianus (California mussel) is the source of this 686-nucleotide long non-coding RNA. RefSeq lists it as uncharacterized. The record is from RefSeq and is a predicted model, not a curated record. The transcript has 2 exons. Lineage: Eukaryota; Metazoa; Mollusca; Bivalvia; Mytilida; Mytilidae.